Molecule: ribosomal RNA, 776 nt
Filed under: uncultured Neocallimastigales
Lineage: Eukaryota; Fungi; Neocallimastigomycota; Neocallimastigomycetes; Neocallimastigales
Description: partial large subunit ribosomal RNA
Rfam family: Eukaryotic large subunit ribosomal RNA
Source: RNAcentral
UAUCUCUGUAGAGUCUGCAUAUCAAUAAGCGGAGGAAAAGAAACUAACAAGGAUUCCCCUAGUAACGGCGAGUGAAGCGGGAAGAGCUCAAAUUUGAAAUCUUAAAGGGUUUCCCUUUACGAAUUGUAGUUUAAAGAAGUGUCUUCUGUUGGAGUUUCGGUAAAAGUUCUUUGGAAUAGGACAUCAUAGAGGGUGAGAAUCCCGCAUUUGACCAUUAUUUCCAACUUUGUGAUACACUUUCAAAGAGUCGGAUUGUUUGGGAAUGCAGUCCAAAAUGGGUGGUAAAUUUCAUCUAAAGCUAAAUACUGGCGAGAGACCGAUAGCGAACAAGUACCGUGAGGGAAAGAUGAAAAGAACUUUGAAAAGAGAGUUAAACAGUACGUGAAAUUGUCAAAAGGGAAGCAUUUGACACCAGUGUUGUUUUCUCGAAAAUCAAUUAAAAAUGGCGUGAUUUUGUGUUGUAUUGACCUUUAUAAGCUUUCUGCACUUUUUUCAUGUCUUUUUUAAUGCACUUUUCGUUUAACAAGUCAACAUCAGUUUCUUUUGUUGUAAAAAGGUCAUUGGAAGGUGGCUUUCUUUUCGGAGAAAGUGUUUAUAGCCUUUGACUCCUGCAAUCGGAGAGACUGAGGUCUGCAGCGUAGAUCCUUCUUGGAUUAGAUUCAUUUGUGCUAAGUUAUAGCUUUUUAUAGACAACUUGUUGACUAUAUUUAGUCUUGUAGCUUACUCGCUUAUGCAAUUUUACCUACGCUUAGGAUGUUGAACGCGCACAGAGUCUC